Drosophila obscura is the source of this 414-nucleotide long non-coding RNA. RefSeq lists it as uncharacterized. The transcript has 3 exons. Lineage: Eukaryota; Metazoa; Arthropoda; Insecta; Diptera; Drosophilidae. The record is from RefSeq and is a predicted model, not a curated record.
ACUUGUGUAAGAAAAUAUUCCCAGACCUGGUGCGCUGUCGUUUGGCCCUUUCUGUUCCAGGGGAUGUCCUCACAUGUGCGAAGUCGCCUACUUUUUGGCCCUCUGAUCAGCAGAAAUCCGCGCUGACUCAUUACACGGCUGCCCGGAGCCGUUGCGGUCCGUUGCUCUUCCGUUUACACGGGAAUAUAAUUAGCCGCCAGGAGGCCAUGGAAACUUAAUUUUUAAGCUUAACUUUUGGCCCAAGUGAAUAACAUUUGUUCUGGCUGAAGGCUGAAGAAGUUCGUCGGCGCAUCGUGUGGAACUUUUAUGGGCUCUUCCGCUUGAAAUUCAAUUAAUUACGCGGCUCCCUGGAUGGUGGCUACACGGGCGGGGGAAGUAAACGGAAGUUUCGGCACGUGAUAAAUUAAUUAAAGC